AUUGACCUCGGAUCAGGUAGGGAUACCCGCUGAACUUAAGCAUAUCAAUAAGCGGAGGAAAAGAAACCAACAGGGAUUGCCUCAGUAACGGCGAGUGAAGCGGCAACAGCUCAAAUUUGAAAUCUGGCCCCUUUCGGGGUCCGAGUUGUAAUUUGUAGAGAGUGCUUCGGGCGAAACAACGGUCUAAGUUCAUUGGAACAUGGCGUCAUAGAGGGUGAGAAUCCCGUAUGCGACCGUGGCUUGAGCCCAUGUGAAGCCUCUUCGACGAGUCGAGUUGUUUGGGAAUGCAGCUCAAAAUGGGUGGUAAAUUUCAUCUAAAGCUAAAUACUGGCUGGAGACCGAUAGCGCACAAGUAGAGUGAUCGAAAGAUGAAAAGCACUUUGGAAAGAGAGUCAAACAGUACGUGAAAUUGUUGAAA
This 418-nucleotide ribosomal RNA is filed under the name Nipponoparmelia laevior. RNAcentral describes it as "eukaryotic LSU rRNA". It matches the Rfam family "Eukaryotic large subunit ribosomal RNA", at positions 1 to 413 of the family's 3401-position model. The record is from RNAcentral. Lineage: Eukaryota; Fungi; Ascomycota; Lecanoromycetes; Lecanorales; Parmeliaceae.